AUUAAUAAGGCCUGUAAUACUAUGAGAAGGAAAUGGUGGCAAUUGGCAAAUGGAACUCUGUUGCUUGGUAACAAAACCUGAGAAAUAAUCAAAACCCUCUGCACUCACUCAGAAGUGUCCAUAAGUCCUGUUCAAGUAAUCUUAAAAGAGACUGUUCCAAUAUUCGAUCUGCCUCGUUCAACAAGGCAAAAAGGUGAGGAAGCAGAGAAUUAUUUUUGAAUGGCUACUGCUUAAAGAGUUGCCUGCGUGAGGUUUGGUGGCAAGAAGCAGAAGUCAGAGCCUGUGGUUCCUGUUGCUCUUCGGCGGUAUGAAAGAGAGAAGAAGGCGUGCUUCAUUAUAUGAAGCUUUGCUCCUAAGGUGGAGUCUUGCUGCAUCACCAAGGCUGGAGUGCAC
RNAcentral lists this long non-coding RNA (393 nucleotides) under Homo sapiens (human). RNAcentral describes it as "HSALNT0321852". Lineage: Eukaryota; Metazoa; Chordata; Mammalia; Primates; Hominidae. The record is from RNAcentral.